CCGUGUACGUACAAGCAGUGGGAGCACAGGUUUACCUGUGUGACUGCGUACCUUUUGUAUAAUGGGUCAGCGACUUAUAUUCUGUAGCAAGGUUAACCGAAUAGGGGAGCCGGAGGGAAACCGAGUCUUAAUUGGGCGUUAAGUUGCAGGGUAUAGACCCGAAACCCGGUGAUCUAGCCAUGGGCAGGUUGAAGGUUGGGUAACACUAACUGGAGGACCGAACCGACUAAUGUUGAAAAAUUAGCGGAUGACCUGUGGCUGGGGGUGAAAGGCCAAUCAAACCGGGAGAUAGCUGGUUCUCCCCGAAAGCUAUUUAGGUAGCGCCUCGUGAAUUCAUCUCCGGGGGUAGAGCACUGUUUCGGCUAGGGGGCCAUCCCGGCUUACCAACCCGAUGCAAACUGCGAAUACCGGAGAAUGUUAUCACGGGAGACACACGGCGGGUGCUAACGUCCGUCGUGAAGAGGGAAACAACCCAGACCGCCAGCUAAGGUCCCAAAGUCAUGGUUAAGUGGGAAACGAUGUGGGAAGGCCCAGACAGCCAGGAUGUUGGCUUAGAAGCAGCCAUCAUUUAAAGAAAGCGUAAUAGCUCACUGGUCGAGUCGGCCUGCGCGGAAGAUGUAACGGGGCUAAACCAUGCACCGAAGCUGCGGCAGCGACACUGUGUGUUGUUGGGUAGGGGAGCGUUCUGUAAGCCUGUGAAGGUGUGUCGUGAGGC
RNAcentral lists this ribosomal RNA (715 nucleotides) under Salmonella enterica subsp. enterica serovar Enteritidis. Its description in RNAcentral is "partial 23S ribosomal RNA". It matches the Rfam family "Bacterial large subunit ribosomal RNA", at positions 556 to 1269 of the family's 2925-position model. Lineage: Bacteria; Pseudomonadati; Pseudomonadota; Gammaproteobacteria; Enterobacterales; Enterobacteriaceae. The record is from RNAcentral.